Molecule: ribosomal RNA, 1281 nt
Filed under: Triticum aestivum (bread wheat)
Lineage: Eukaryota; Viridiplantae; Streptophyta; Magnoliopsida; Poales; Poaceae
Description: partial small subunit ribosomal RNA
Source: RNAcentral
AUGGAUGUGAAUUUUGUUGGUAGGAAUAGUUUUGGAAACAAUGCUUAUAGAGGAAACUUUAAUCCUAGACUGUUCCCUAGUAAUUCCUCUAAUAAUUAUGGAAAUUCCUACAAUAAUUAUUAUGGUAAUUUUAAUAAGAUGCCCUCUGAUUUUGAGAAUAGUGUGAAUGAAUUUAUGAUCUCUCAAAAGAAUUUUAAUGCCUUGCUUGAAGAAAAAUUGCUCAAAGUUGAUGACUUGGCUAGGAACGUUGAUAGACUUUCGCUUGAUGUUGAUUCUCUUAAACUUAGAUCUACCCCUCAUAAGCAUUAUAUUAAUGAGUCUCUCAAAGCCAUGAGAAUUUCCAUUGACGAGUGCAAAGAAAGAACCACUAGAUUGCGUGCUAAGAAAGAUUGCUUUGUAAAGGUGUGUUCUUCUAGUUUCCAUGAAAAUAAUGAUGAAGAUCUUAAGGUUAUUGAUGUGUCCCCUAUUAGAUCUUUGUUUUGCAAUAUGAAUCUUAAUAAUGAUGGUACUGGAGAUGAGUCAACUUUAGUUAAAAGGUGUCCCAAUAAUUCGGAGUUUUUAGAUCUUGAAGCUAAUUUUGGUAAAACUGGGAUUGGAGAGGUCAAGACUUUAAAUAGCAUUGAACCCAGUAUCUUGGAUUUCAAGGAAUUUGAUUAUGAUAAUUGUUCUUUAGAAGGUUGUAUUUCCCUGUUGCAAUCCGUUGUAAAUUCUCCUCAUGCUUAUAGUCAAAAUAAAGCUUUUACCAAACAUAUUGUUGAUGCCUUGAUGCAAUCUUAUGAUGAAAAACUUAAUUUGGAAGUUUCUAUACCUAGAAAACUUAAUGAUGAGUGGGAACCUACUAUAAAGAUUAAAAUUAAAGAACAUGAGUGUUAUGCUUUAUGUGAUUUGUUUGCUAGUGUUUCCACGAUUCCGAAAACUUUAUGUGAUAUUCUAGGUUUCCAUGAUCUUGAUUAUUGCUCUUUAAAUUUGCACCUUGCGGAUUCCACCAUUAAAAAGCCAAUGGGAAGGAUCAAUGAUGUUCUCAUUGUUGCAAAUAGAAAUUUGGUGCCCGUAGAUUUUAUGGUUCUUGAUAUAGAUUGCAAUCUUUCUUGCCCUAUUAUUCUUGGUAGACCUUUCCUUAAAACAAUUAGCGUGAUUAUUGAUAUGAAGGAACGGAAUAUUAGAUUCCAAUUUCCAUUAAGGAAAGGCAUGGAGCACUUUCCAAGAAAUAAAAUUAAAUUACCUUAUGAAUCUAUCAUCCGGGCUACUUAUGAACUGAGUGCCAAAGAUGGCACUACUUAG